RNAcentral lists this ribosomal RNA (253 nucleotides) under uncultured bacterium. RNAcentral's name for it is "partial 16S ribosomal RNA". It matches the Rfam family "Bacterial small subunit ribosomal RNA", at positions 524 to 776 of the family's 1533-position model. The record is from RNAcentral.
UACAGAGGUCCCAAGCGUUGUCCGGAUUCACUGGGCGUAAAGGGUGCGUAGGCGGUCGGGUAAGUCUGAUGUGAAAUCUCACAGCUUAACUGUGAAACUGCAUUGGAUACUAUCCGGCUUGAGGAAUGGAGGGGAGACUGGAAUACUUGGUGUAGCAGUGAAAUGCGUAGAUAUCAAGUGGAACACCAGUGGCGAAGGCGAGUCUCUGGACAUUUCCUGACGCUGAGGCACGAAAGCCAGGGGAGCAAACGGG